Molecule: ribosomal RNA, 1274 nt
Filed under: Cytobacillus kochii
Lineage: Bacteria; Bacillati; Bacillota; Bacilli; Caryophanales; Bacillaceae
Description: Bacillus kochii partial 16S rRNA
Rfam family: Bacterial small subunit ribosomal RNA (bases 327-1274)
Source: RNAcentral
ACCCCCCCCCCCCCCCUUUUUUUUUGUUUAGAAGGAAGUUGAUUAAACGCGCUUAUUGGCGCUCCCAAUGGGGGGCUAACGGAACCCUUAGGGAACCGGAGCGGUUAUGGCACUCUUUAAAAAACGGUAAUGGUUCCUCCUUCAAGGCCAGUCUUACUUUGGGGUACGUUCCUAGGGGGGGUACGCUAAAGGGAUGCCACUGGAUGAGCCGCCCACUCUCGGAGCGCGUCGGAUUUCGGAUGAGAAGUUGAUGAGCACGCGCUGAUGAGAAGUUUCGAUGUAAAUCUGUAUCGGAGACAGUACUGUUUACUCCGUACUUGACGUACUACCAGAAGCACGCUACUCGUGCAGCAGCCGCGUAUACGUAGGGGCAGCGUGUCGGAUUAUGGGGUAAGCGCGCGCGGCUUUCUUAGUCUGAUUGAAGCCGCGCUCACCGGGAGGUCAUUUGAACUGGGAACUGAGUGCAGAGAGAAAGGGAAUUCCAAGUGUAGCGUGAAAUGCGUAGAGAUUGGAGAACACCAGUGGGAAGGCGACUUCUGGUCUGUAACUGACGCUGAGGCGCGAAACGUGGGAGCAAACAGAUUAGAUACCCUGGUAGUCCCCCCGUAAACGAUGAGUGCUAACUGUUAGAGGGUUUCGCCUUUUAGUGCUGCAGCAAACGCAUUAAGCACUCCGCCUGGGGAGUACGACCGCAAGGUUGAAACUCAAAGGAAUUGACGGGGGCCCGCACAAGCGGUGGAGCAUGUGGUUUAAUUCGAAGCAACGCGAAGAACCUUACCAGGUCUUGACAUCCUCUGACAAUCCUAGAGAUAGGACUUUCCCCUUCGGGGGACAGAGUGACAGGUGGUGCAUGGUUGUCGUCAGCUCGUGUCGUGAGAUGUUGGGUUAAGUCCCGCAACGAGCGCAACCCUUGAUCUUAGUUGCCAGCAUUCAGUUGGGCACUCUAAGGUGACUGCCGGUGACAAACCGGAGGAAGGUGGGGAUGACGUCAAAUCAUCAUGCCCCUUAUGACCUGGGCUACCCCCCUGCUCCAAUGGAUGGUACAAAGGGCUGCAAGGCCGCGAGGUUUAGCCAAUCCCAUAAAACCAUUCUCAGUUCGGAUUGUAGUCUGCAACUCGCGUACAUGAAGCCGGAAUCGCUAGUAAUCGCGGAUCAGCAUGCCGCGGUGAAUACGUUCCCGGGCCUUGUACACACCGCCCGUCACACCAUGGAGAGUUUGUAACACCGGAAGUCGGUGGGGUAACCUAUGGAGCCAGCCACCAAGAGUCGAUGGU